Molecule: ribosomal RNA, 500 nt
Filed under: uncultured bacterium
Lineage: Bacteria
Description: bacterial SSU rRNA
Rfam family: Bacterial small subunit ribosomal RNA
Source: RNAcentral
UAAACGCUGGCGGCGCACAUAAGACAUGCAAGUCGAACGGAAGUCGUUAUAAAAAGGAUUGAAGAUUUAUCUGAUUGAGAUUUUAUAACAAUGGCUUUAGUGGCGGACUGGUGAGUAACGCGUGAGCAACCUGCCUACUAGAGGGGAAUAACAGUGAGAAAUCAUUGCUAAUACCGCAUAUGCCAUGAACAUCACAUGAUGAAAAUGGGAAAAGAGUAAUCUGCUAGUAGAUGGGCUCGCGUCUGAUUAGAUAGUUGGUGGGGUAACGGCCUACCAAGUCAACGAUCAGUAGCCGGACUGAGAGGUUGAACGGCCACAUUGGGACUGAGAUACGGCCCAGACUCCUACGGGAGGCAGCAGUCGGGAAUAUUGCACAAUGGGGGAAACCCUGAUGCAGCGACGCCGCGUGAAGGAAGAAGGCCCUCGGGUUGUAAACUUCUUUGACCAGGGACGAAGAAAGUGACGGUACCUGGAGAACAAGCACCGGCCUAACCUACGUG